This 481-nucleotide ribosomal RNA is filed under the name uncultured bacterium. Its description in RNAcentral is "partial 16S ribosomal RNA". It matches the Rfam family "Bacterial small subunit ribosomal RNA", at positions 28 to 523 of the family's 1533-position model. The record is from RNAcentral.
GACGAACGCUGGCGGCGUGCUUAACACAUGCAAGUCGAGCGGAAAGGCCACUUCGGUGGUACUCGAGCGGCGAACGGGUGAGUAACACGUGAGUAAUCUGCCCCUGGCUUUGGGAUAGCCACCGGAAACGGUGAUUAAUACCGGAUACGACCACUUCUCGCAUGGGAUGGUGGUGGAAAGUUUUUUCGGCCAGGGAUGUGCUCGCGGCCUAUCAGCUUGAUGGUGAGGUAAUGGCUCACCAUGGCUUCGACGGGUAGCCGGCCUGAGAGGGUGACCGGUCACACUGGGACUGAGACACAGCCCAGACUCCUACGGGAGGCAGCAGUGGGGAAUAUUGGACAAUGGGCGGAAGCCUGAUCCAGCAACGCCGCGUGAGGGAUGACGGCCUUCGGGUUGUAAACCUCUUUCAGCAGGGACGAAGCGCAUGUGACGGUACCUGCAGAAGAAGCACCGGCCAACUACGUGCCAGCCGCCGCAGUAA